Molecule: long non-coding RNA, 913 nt
Filed under: Cottoperca gobio
Lineage: Eukaryota; Metazoa; Chordata; Actinopteri; Perciformes; Bovichtidae
Description: lncRNA (ENSCGOG00000023919.1)
Source: RNAcentral
CCGGACCGGACAAAACCAGAAAUCAACCAAAUUUGUUAUUUUUUUAUUUCUGCUAAAUAUUAAAGUUGAUCUUUUCUUUACUGUUCUCAGGCAAGUGAAGGUGGCCUUACCUGCACCUACAAUGACCUUUGCCCCAUGACACCUGACCACAGUGUCAAAGAAGUGAAUCUCCAAGGCCAGCUGGGUGCCUGUCUCUCCCCCAGUGAGGAGCCUUCUGCUAGGCAGUGUGUGGAGGAGCAGCAGUGCUACGUGGAGAGUUUGCGACAGGAGAUUCAGGCUGAACAAAGAAGGGCUGAGAGAGAGCUGGAGAGGGAGCAGGCUCACCUCCGACAGCAGCACAGUGAGAUCCAGCAGUGGAUUUUGCAGGAGAAACGGCGCCUAACAACUGUAGAGCAGAGAAUCACCCAAGAAUCCGGACUUCAGGCAGACCUUAUAUCCCGCACUCCUCCUGGAGCGAGAGGCAAGUCCGGCGUCCGACUUUCAGGAAGGUCAGACAGUAGAUCGUCUGUCCCACGUCGUAAGGGCCAGGAAGAAGGCGGUGCAGGAGGAGCUACUAAAGCAUCACGCCCUUUGCCGUUCCGAUAGCCGCAUCCGCCGGAAAAAGUUGCACUACCAGCUGGAGAGAAUCGCCCGCAAGCGGCAUCUUUUGGAAGCAAAGAGGGAGUUGCAGCGGCUGGAAAGAGCCCUGCCUCCGGGACCUGACAGCCCAGAGACCCCUGAGCUGGGGUCCCCCACAAAGCUCAGGGGAAGACCGUUUGGUUCUCGUAGACACUCCUUCUCAGCAGAUCUUCUGUCCCGGCUCUACCCACAGAACACCCCUAUCUUCAGGUAAGCACAUUAAGCCAUAAAACGUGUAACAUGAGUUCAUUGCAAUCGAGGGCAGGAAGCAAUUCUCAUUUUCAUUAAAAGAAUA